Molecule: ribosomal RNA, 404 nt
Filed under: Helicobacter pylori
Lineage: Bacteria; Pseudomonadati; Campylobacterota; Epsilonproteobacteria; Campylobacterales; Helicobacteraceae
Description: bacterial SSU rRNA
Rfam family: Bacterial small subunit ribosomal RNA
Source: RNAcentral
CGUAUGACCGGGGUAUCCGGCCUGAGAGGGUGAACGGACACACUGGAACUGAGUUACACGGUCCAGACUCCUACGGGAGGCAGCAGUAGGGAAUAUUGCUCAAUGGGGGAAACCCUGAAGCAGCAACGCCGCGUGGAGGAUGAAGGUUUUAGGAUUGUAAACUCCUUUUGUUAGAGAAGAUAAUGACGGUAUCUAACGAAUAAGCACCGGCUAACUCCGUGCCAGCAGCCGCGGUAAUACGGAGGGUGCAAGCGUUACUCGGAAUCACUGGGCGUAAAGAGCGCGUAGGCGGGAUAGUCAGUCAGGUGUGAAAUCCUAUGGCUUAACCAUAGAACUGCAUUUGAAACUACUAUUCUAGAGUGUGGGAGAGGUAGGUGGAAUUCUUGGUGUAGGGGGUAAAAUCA